UGGGGAAUCUUCCGCAAUGGGCGAAAACCUGACGGAGCAACGCCGCGUGAGUGAUGACGGCCUUCGGGUUGUAAAGCUCUGUGAUCGGGGACGAAAAUGACGGUACCCGAGGAGGAAGCCACGGCUAACUACGUGCCAGCAGCCGCGGUAAUACGUAGGUGGCAAGCGUUGUCCGGAAUUACUGGGUGUAAAGGGAGAGUAGGCGGGAUUGCAAGUCCGUUGUUAAAUCUAUCGGCUUAACCGGUAGCUGCGGCGGAAACUGUAGUUCUUGAGUGAAGUAGAGGCAGGCGGAAUUCCUAGUGUAGCGGUGAAAUGCGUAGAUAUUAGGAGGAACACCAGUGGCGAAGGCGGCCUGCUGGGCUUUAACUGACGCUGAGGCUCGAAAGUGUGGGGAGCAAACAGGAUUAGAUACCCUGGUAGU
Molecule: ribosomal RNA, 421 nt
Filed under: uncultured Oscillospiraceae bacterium
Lineage: Bacteria; Bacillati; Bacillota; Clostridia; Eubacteriales; Oscillospiraceae
Description: bacterial SSU rRNA
Rfam family: Bacterial small subunit ribosomal RNA
Source: RNAcentral